AUUGAACGCUGGCGACACGCUUUACACAUGCAAGUCGAACGGUAACAGGGUGCUUGCACCGCUGACGAGUGGCGAACGGGUGAGUAAUGCGUCGGAACGCACCGAGUAAUGGGGGAUAACGCAGCGAAAGCUGUGCUAAUACCGCAUACGCUCUGAGGAGGAAAGCGGGGGACCUUCGGGCCUCGCGUUAUUCGAGCGGCCGACGUCUGAUUAGCUAGUAGGUGAGGUAAGAGCUCACCUAGGCGACGAUCAGUAGCGGGUCUGAGAGGAUGAUCCGCCACACUGGGACUGAGACACGGCCCAGACUCCUACGGGAGGCAGCAGUGGGGAAUUUUGGACAAUGGGCGCAAGCCUGAUCCAGCCAUGCCGCGUGUCUGAAGAAGGCCUUCGGGUUGUAAAGGACUUUUGUCAGGGAGGAAAUCCCUAGCGCUAAUACCGUUGAGGGAUGACAGUACCUGAAGAAUAAGCACCGGCUAACUACGUGCCAGCCGCCGCCGUAA
Molecule: ribosomal RNA, 500 nt
Filed under: uncultured bacterium
Lineage: Bacteria
Description: partial 16S ribosomal RNA
Rfam family: Bacterial small subunit ribosomal RNA
Source: RNAcentral